This 199-nucleotide long non-coding RNA is filed under the name Zostera marina. RNAcentral describes it as "long non-coding RNA (ZMAR_LNC004147)". Lineage: Eukaryota; Viridiplantae; Streptophyta; Magnoliopsida; Alismatales; Zosteraceae. The record is from RNAcentral.
GUUCGCCUCAACAUUCUCGUGCUGACGGGUGAGAUCGACAAUCAUCGACUCUUUAAUGGAAACCCGGGCACGUUGGGCAGCUAGUUCCAUCUCUGCAGCCCCCAACUCUCCGUUAACUUUGGAGAUUUCCUGCUCCUUAUCUCUUAAGAGAUUCCUCUGAGCAGCCCAAUCCUCAGCCAACUUCUUGUUGGUAGCAGAC